Molecule: ribosomal RNA, 510 nt
Filed under: uncultured bacterium
Lineage: Bacteria
Description: bacterial SSU rRNA
Rfam family: Bacterial small subunit ribosomal RNA
Source: RNAcentral
AUUGAACGCUGGCGGCAGGCUUAACACAUGCAAGUCGAGCGGAGACUUCGGUCUUAGCGGCGAACGGGUGAGUAAUACCUAGGAAUCUGCCCAUUAGCGGGGGACAACGUUUCGAAAGGAACGCUAAUACCGCAUACGCCCUACGGGGGAAAGCAGGGGAUCUUUUGACCUUGCACUAAUGGAUGAGCCUAGGCCGGAUUAGCUAGUUGGUAGGGUAAAGGCCUACCAAGGCGACGAUCUGUAGCUGGUCUGAGAGGAUGACCAGCCACACUGGAACUGAGACACGGUCCAGACUCCUACGGGAGGCAGCAGUGGGGAAUAUUGGACAAUGGGCGCAAGCCUGAUCCAGCCAUGCCGCGUGUGUGAAGAAGGCCUUCGGGUUGUAAAGCACUUUAAGCGAGGAGGAAAGUUUAUAGGUUAAUACCCUAUAGAAUUGACGUUACUCGCAGAAUAAGCACCGGCUAACUCUGUGCCAGCAGCCGCGGUAAUACAGAGGGUGCAAGCGUUAAU